Molecule: long non-coding RNA, 1142 nt
Filed under: Chrysolophus pictus (golden pheasant)
Lineage: Eukaryota; Metazoa; Chordata; Aves; Galliformes; Phasianidae
Description: lncRNA (ENSCPIG00010005693.1)
Source: RNAcentral
GAGGAAAUGAUAACAGCCGGAGUUGGACGAAGCUCUGGGGCGGAGCGGCACCCCCGGCAAUUGGGGCCGAACGACGCGCGGUGCUGCGGCUCCGUUUCUUUCCCAUCCCGUUCCUUUCGGCCCCGCAGCCCCCGCUCCUCCUUCCCGCAGGAAUCCGACGCGUUCCUGAAAGGAGGAAGGAAGGGGUCCCCGCCGCCCCCUCCCCAAAGCUUCAAAGAGUUUUCCCCUUCCUCCCUUCUCUUCUCGACCCCCCCGGACAGAAGGGGCUCGGAAGGCCCUCGUCAGCAUCAUCCCCGUGCCCGCAGCCCCGCGUUCGGACCCCAUUCACCCCCCCGGUUCCAUUGCAGCAGCAGCAGCAGCCGCGGCCCAGCGCCGCCGGAGCGCCCAGAGGGAUGCGGACCCACAGACACAGCGGUGAGCGGGGGGUCCCGACUCCCAGCCCCCCCCCGGCGCCUCCCCUGCACCCCUUGCAGGACCCGCAGCCCCUCUUCCCCCUGUGGUUAUCCCACCACCCACGGGUGGGUGCUGUGUGCUCACCCCUAAACCUUUCCUCCCCCCGCACCCCUCGCAGGACCCUGUGACUGACGCAGCCCCCCCGGCGCACAGCUGAAUGGAAAGGGUGCAGAAGGUAAACGGGGGGGUGGGGGGUUUGGUUAUCAUCAUAUGGGCGCCUAUGGGACACCUCCUUGCGCGGCUGUGGGGCAGCCUUCCUCCUCCUCGUCCUCAUCCUCCUCCUCCUCCCAGCCUGGCAGCCCCAUCUAGUGGCCCUCCCACGUCCUCUCCGUGCGUCCCCGACCCCUGGAUUUCAAUGCUGCACUCCCAGCCCACCCCAAAUCUCUGCACCCCAUCAGGUUUCCCCGCGUCCUCCAAACAGAACUUUGCCCUAAAUGUCCGCUGUGGGGCAGCCUUCCUCCUCCUCGUCCUCAUCCUCCUCCUCCUCCCAGCCUGGCAGCCCCAUCUAGUGGCCCUCCCACGUCCUCUCCGUGCGUCCCCGACCCCUGGAUUUCAAUGCUGCACUCCCAGCCCACCCCAAAUCUCUGCACCCCAUCAGGUUUCCCCGCGUCCUCCAAACAGAACUUUGCCCUAAAUGUCCCAUUUUUUUUUUUUUCACCCUCCCCCCCCCCCCACAACCCCCCGCCCCC